Molecule: non-coding RNA, 242 nt
Filed under: Brevibacillus brevis
Lineage: Bacteria; Bacillati; Bacillota; Bacilli; Caryophanales; Paenibacillaceae
Description: T-box sequence
Rfam family: T-box leader
About the family: Uncharged tRNA acts as the effector for transcription antitermination of genes in the T-box leader family. T-boxes are found upstream of many aminoacyl-tRNA synthetase genes and some amino acid biosynthetic genes usually in Gram-positive bacteria. The anticodon of a specific tRNA base pairs to a specifier sequence within the T-box motif, and the NCCA acceptor tail of the tRNA base pairs to a conserved bulge in the T-box antiterminator hairpin.
Source: RNAcentral
AACACAGCCGUGAAAAGGAAAGUAAAAAAGGGAUUUUGACGUCCAGAGAGUUGCCUGUUAGCUGAGAGGGCAGCCGCGAACUCUUUUUGAAAGCCACCUUGGAGCUCUGCUUUUGAAAAUGCCAAGUAGAAAGCAGCGGAUGGCCCACGUUAUGGGGCGCAUGUCUACGUAGACAGCACGAGUUUGCCUUUUGUGAGAGAGGCAAAAAAGCUGAGUGGUACCGCGAUACCUUCGCCUCAGCA